Molecule: unclassified non-coding RNA, 420 nt
Filed under: soil metagenome
Description: partial contains 5.8S ribosomal RNA, internal transcribed spacer 2, and large subunit ribosomal RNA
Rfam family: 5.8S ribosomal RNA (bases 1-120)
Source: RNAcentral
GAUGAAGAACGUAGCGAAAUGCGAUACGUAAUGUGAAUUGCAGAAUUCAGUGAAUCAUCGAAUCUUUGAACGCAUAUUGCGCUCUUUGGUAUUCCGAAGAGCAUGCUUGUUUGAGUAUCAGUAAACACCUCAACCUCUUCUUGAUUUUUCAAAAGGAGGGUGGACUUGAGCUAUCCCAACAACCUUUACCGGUCGGCGGGCGGCUUGAAAUGCAGGUGCAGCUGGACUUUUAUCUGAGCUAAAAGCAUAUCUAUUUAGUCCUCGUCAAACAGGAUUAUUACUUUUGCUGCAGCUAACAUAAAGGAUAAUUGUCCUCUUUGCUGACUGAUGCAGGAUUUUACGACACUUUAUGUGUUUUUCAACUCGAUCUCAAAUCAAGUAAGACUACCCGCUGAACUUAAGCAUAUCAAUAAGCGGAGG